GGUGUGAAUUGCAGAAUCCCGUGAACCAUCGAGUCUUUGAACGCAAGUUGCGCCCGAGGCCACUACGGCCGAGGGCACGUCUGUCUGGGCGUCGCAUGCAGCGUCACCUAACACCUCUCCCCUGCGUGGAGGUGUCGGUGGAGUAUGGCCUCCCGCGUCGUAGGUCUCGACGCGGUUGGCCCAAAUGGGAAGCUCGGGGAAACGGAUGCCCGUGACGAUGGGUGGUCAGCGAGGCCGAAAGGCACGGUCACGACGUCUCGUCAUGGCAUGGUUUCCCGCUGCUCGUUUCGAUCCCGUUCUGCCGCCAUGGCAGGAUGGAUACAGGGCGACCCCAGAUCAGGCGGGGUUACCC
Molecule: ribosomal RNA, 352 nt
Filed under: Drosera villosa
Lineage: Eukaryota; Viridiplantae; Streptophyta; Magnoliopsida; Caryophyllales; Droseraceae
Description: eukaryotic LSU rRNA
Rfam family: 5.8S ribosomal RNA (bases 1-94)
Source: RNAcentral